GACGAACGCUGGCGGCGUGCCUAACACAUGCAAGUCGAACGGAGUGAAGCCCUUCGGGACUUUACUUAGUGGCGAACGGGUGAGUAACGCGUGAGGAACCUGCCUUUCAGUGGGGGACAACAGUUGGAAACGACUGCUAAUACCGCAUGACGCUUCUUGGGGGCAUCCCUGGGAAGUCAAAGAUUUAUUGCUGAAAGAUGGCCUGCGUCUGAUUAGCUAGUUGGCGGGGUAACGCCCACCAAGGCGACGAUCAGUAGCCGGUCUGAGAGGAUGAACGGCCACAUUGGGACUGAGAUACGGCCCAGACUCCUACGGGAGGCAGCAGUGGGGAAUAUUGGGCAAUGGGGGAAACCCUGACCCAGCAACGCCGCGUGAAGGAAGAAGGCCUUCGGUUGUAAACGUUCUUUAGUCUAGGACGAAGGACGUAGACGGUA
This 434-nucleotide ribosomal RNA is filed under the name uncultured bacterium. RNAcentral describes it as "bacterial SSU rRNA". It matches the Rfam family "Bacterial small subunit ribosomal RNA", at positions 28 to 477 of the family's 1533-position model. The record is from RNAcentral.